GACGAACGCUGGCGGCGUGCUUAACACGUGCAAGUCGAACGGAAAGGCCCUGCUUUUGUGGGGUGCUCGAGUGGCGAACGGGUGGGUAACACGUGGGUAACCUGCCCUUGACUUUGGGAUAACUUCAGGAAACUGGGGCUAAUACCGGAUAGGAGCUCCUGCUGCAUGGUGGGGGUUGGAAAGUUUCGGCGGUUGGGGAUGGACUCGCGGCUUAUCAGCUUGUUGGUGGGGUAGUGGCUUACCAAGGCUUUGACGGGUAGCCGGCCUGAGAGGGUGACCGGCCACAUUGGGACUGAGAUACGGCCCAGACUCCUACGGGAGGCAGCAGUGGGGAAUAUUGCACAAUGGGCGGAAGCCUGAUGCAGCAACGCCGCGUGCGGGAUGACGGCCUUCGGGUUGUAAACCGCUUUCGCCUGUGACGAAGCGUGAGUGACGGUAAUGGGUAAAGAAGCACCGGCUAACUACGUG
Molecule: ribosomal RNA, 468 nt
Filed under: uncultured bacterium
Lineage: Bacteria
Description: partial 16S ribosomal RNA
Rfam family: Bacterial small subunit ribosomal RNA
Source: RNAcentral